CCUACGGGUGGCAGCAGUCGAGAAUCAUUCACAAUGGGGGAAACCCUGAUGGUGCGACGCCGCGUGGGGGAAUGAAGGUCUUCGGAUUGUAAACCCCUGUCAUGUGGGAGCAAAUUAAAAAGAUAGUACCACAAGAGGAAGAGACGGCUAACUCUGUGCCAGCAGCCGCGGUAAUACAGAGGUCUCAAGCGUUGUGCGGAAUCACUGGGCGUAAGGCGUGCGUAGGCGGUUUCGUAAGUCGUGUGUGAAAGGCGCGGCAUCAACCCGCGGACGGCACAUGAUACUGCGAGACUAGAGUAAUGGAGGGGGAACCGGAAGUCUCGGUGUAGCAGUGAAAUGCGUAGAUAUCGAGAGGAACACUCGUGGCGAAGGCGGGUUCCUGGACAUUAACUGACGCUGAGGCACGAAGGCCAGGGGAGCGAAAGGGAUUAGAUACCCGAGUAGUC
RNAcentral lists this ribosomal RNA (446 nucleotides) under uncultured bacterium. RNAcentral's name for it is "partial 16S ribosomal RNA". It matches the Rfam family "Bacterial small subunit ribosomal RNA", at positions 338 to 795 of the family's 1533-position model. The record is from RNAcentral.